AUUGAACGCUGGCGGCAGGCCUAACACAUGCAAGUCGAGCGGAAACGAUCCUAGCUUGCUAGGAGGCGUCGAGCGGCGGACGGGUGAGUAACGCGUGAGAAUCUACCCAUGAGUGGGGGACAACCCGGGGGAAACUCGGGCUAAUACCGCAUAUGCCCUACGGGGUAAAGCAGGGGACCUUCGGGCCUUGCGCUGAUGGAUGAGCUCGCGUCGGAUUAGCUUGUUGGUGAGGUAAAGGCUCACCAAGGCGACGAUCCGUAGCUGGUCUGAGAGGAUGAUCAGCCACACCGGGACUGAGACACGGCCCGGACUCCUACGGGAGGCAGCAGUGGGGAAUCUUGGACAAUGGGGGCAACCCUGAUCCAGCCAUGCCGCGUGUGUGAAGAAGGCCUUCGGGUUGUAAAGCACUUUCAGCAGGGAGGAAGGCUUACCCCUAAUACGGGUGAGUACUUGACGUUACCUGCAGAAGAAGCACCGGCUAAUUUCGUG
This 489-nucleotide ribosomal RNA is filed under the name uncultured bacterium. RNAcentral describes it as "bacterial SSU rRNA". It matches the Rfam family "Bacterial small subunit ribosomal RNA", at positions 29 to 507 of the family's 1533-position model. The record is from RNAcentral.